UCCCUGAUGGUCCAGUGGUUAAAACUCUUCUCUCCCAAUGCAGGGGGCACGGGUUCAAUCCCUGGUCGGGGAA
Molecule: transfer RNA, 73 nt
Filed under: Bos taurus (domestic cattle)
Lineage: Eukaryota; Metazoa; Chordata; Mammalia; Artiodactyla; Bovidae
Also listed under: 3 other names
Rfam family: tRNA
About the family: Transfer RNA (tRNA) molecules are approximately 80 nucleotides in length. Their secondary structure includes four short double-helical elements and three loops (D, anti-codon, and T loops).
Source: Rfam by way of RNAcentral